CCUACGGGAGGCAGCAGUGGGGAAUUUUGGACAAUGGGGGAAACCCUGAUCCAGCCAUGCCGCGUGCGGGAAGAAGGCCUUCGGGUUGUAAACCGCUUUUGUCCGGGAAGAAAUGACCUCCCCUAAUACGGGGGGUUCCUGACGGUACCGGAAGAAUAAGCACCGGCUAACUACGUGCCAGCAGCCGCGGUAAUACGUAGGGUGCGAGCGUUAAUCGGAAUUACUGGGCGUAAAGCGUGCGCAGGCGGUUCGCUAAGUCUGAUGUGAAAGCCCCGGGCUCAACCUGGGAAUGGCAUUGGAAACUGGCGGGCUUGAGUGUGGCAGAGGGGGGUGGAAUUCCACGUGUAGCAGUGAAAUGCGUAGAGAUGUGGAGGAACACCGAUGGCGAAGGCAGCCCCCUGGGCUAACACUGACGCUCAGGCACGAAAGCGUGGGGAGCAAACAGGAUUAGAUACCCUGGUAGUCCACGCCCUAAACUAUGUCAACUGGGUGUUGGGGGAAGCGAUUCCUCAGUACCGUAGCUAACGCGUGAAGUUGACCGCCUGGGGAGUACGGCCGCAAGGUUAAAACUCAAAGGAAUUGACGG
Molecule: ribosomal RNA, 586 nt
Filed under: uncultured bacterium
Lineage: Bacteria
Description: bacterial SSU rRNA
Rfam family: Bacterial small subunit ribosomal RNA
Source: RNAcentral